Molecule: long non-coding RNA, 1271 nt
Organism: Ailuropoda melanoleuca (giant panda)
Lineage: Eukaryota; Metazoa; Chordata; Mammalia; Carnivora; Ursidae
Exons: 3
Source: RefSeq, a predicted model, not a curated record
GCCAGAAGCUUCGAGAUGCCUGGUGCUCCUUGGGCUCCGCGGUGCCACCCGGGCCUGUCUCACCAGCGUCGCCUUCUUUCCUGUAGAUGCGCGUCGUGUCUACAAAGGGGUCCCUCCACAGGUGCGGGGUCAGCUGUGGGCCCUCCUGCUCGAUAUCAAGACGGUGAAGGCCACCAACCAAGGGGUAUACAAGGUAAGCCCCUUCCACCCCCAGCAGAGGCAUGGCCCUUGGAUGAGGCCUUGGCAGGAGCUCAGGGGAACCCGUGGGGAGGGAGGGGUGAGGUCAUGUGUCUCGGGGACCCGGGGCGGCCCCAGCACUCUCCUGGUGCCUCUCAGUCCCGAGGGUCCCGCCAUCUCCCUGCUGCCCCCGCCUCAGUCCCGUGGGCCCCAGAGCAGGGCAGGCGUGGGGUCAGAGACAGGCAGGGCUGUGGGGCUCUGUCCUCCUCCUGGGAGGGUUUAGCAUCAGGGUGACGGUAGCCGGCACCCUGGACAGGCCCGGGGCCCCACAGCAGCCCUCCCAGUCCCAGAACCUGGGGUGGGGGCCGGCCAGGUGGGCCGGUGCCAGGUUUCUGCUUGGGCCGCAGAAGGAGCUCAUGGAUGCGAAGGGGAGGAGAGCCAGCCUCUGCCCUGCCCCGCCUGGGGGGCUGCAGGGCUCCAGGGGGCAUCAGGAGCACAGGCCCAGGGACCCUCCCUGUGUCCCCGAGUGCCCUGAGAUGGGUCUGGGCCCUGGGAGCACGUUCCAGGGAGCAGCCUCUGCGGGGACACGCUCAGUCCCCAGGCUGGCGCUCAGUCCUGGAGGACGGGCCCCUGUGUGGGGGAGGGGAGGAGCCUCGGACUGACCAUCGGGAGUGCCCUCCCUGCCCAGGGCUGCAGAGCCCGAGCCCCGACGCGGGCAUCACGGCACGGUGGGCACUGGGGCAGGGCCCCGGCUUCAGAGACAAGGGACGCAAGGACACACGACGCAGCGGCCAGCAGCGCUCCCUGCUGAGGGCAGUUGGGGGCAGUUAGGGUUCCAUGGCCCUGACGCGGCCCCUCCCCCCCGGUUCUGCCCACAGAAAAUGAAGGAGCAGGCCCAGCUCUUCUCCAAGGACAUCCGGCAAAUUGAUCUGGACGUGAACCGGACCUUCCGGAACCAUGUCAUGUUCUGGGACCGCUAUGGCAUCAGGCAGCGAGCCCUGUUCCACGUGCUCUCGGCAUUUUCCAUCUACAACACCGCUUCUUCGUUCCAGGAUUCCCCAAAUUGCUGAGGUUUCAGGCCCAUCACGACCUCA